RNAcentral lists this ribosomal RNA (733 nucleotides) under uncultured bacterium. Its description in RNAcentral is "bacterial SSU rRNA". It matches the Rfam family "Bacterial small subunit ribosomal RNA", at positions 60 to 785 of the family's 1533-position model. The record is from RNAcentral.
AGUCGAACGGCAGCACGGGUGCUUGCACCUGGUGGCGAGUGGCGAACGGGUGAGUAAUAUAUCGGAACGUAUCCAAUAAUGGGGGAUAACUAAUCGAAAGGUUGGCUAAUACCGCAUACGCCCUACGGGGGAAAGCAGGGGAUCUUCGGACCUUGCGUUAAUGGAGCGGCUGAUAUCUGAUUAGCUAGUAGGUGAGGUAAAGGCUCACCUAGGCGACGAUCAGUAGCUGGUCUGAGAGGACGACCAGCCACACUGGAACUGAGACACGGUCCAGACUCCUACGGGAGGCAGCAGUGGGGAAUUUUGGACAACGGGGGCAACCCUGAUCCAGCCAUUCCGCGUGAGUGAAGAAGGCCUUCGGGUUGUAAAGCUCUUUCGCAAGGGAAGAAACGAUACAGUCGAAUAAACUGUGUUAAUGACGGUACCUUGAUAAGAAGCACCGGCUAACUACGUGCCAGCAGCCGCGGUAAUACGUAGAGUGCGAGCGUUAAUCGGAAUUACUGGGCGUAAAGCGUGCGCAGGCGGUUUUGAAAGUCAGAUGUGAAAUCCCCGGGCUCAACCUGGGAACUGCGUUUGAAACUCCAAAGCUAGAGUAUAGGAGAGGGGGGUAGAAUUCCACGUGUAGCAGUGAAAUGCGUAGAGAUGUGGAGGAAUACCAAUGGCGAAGGCAGCCCCCUGGCUUAAUACUGACGCUCAUGCACGAAAAGCGUGGGGAGCAAACAGGAUUAGAUAC